Molecule: ribosomal RNA, 2853 nt
Filed under: Triticum aestivum (bread wheat)
Lineage: Eukaryota; Viridiplantae; Streptophyta; Magnoliopsida; Poales; Poaceae
Description: partial small subunit ribosomal RNA
Source: RNAcentral
AUGGAUAUUGUCACGGGUGCCAUUGCCAAGCUGAUCCCCAAGCUGGCCGACCUACUUGUGGGGGUGUACAAGCUGCACAAGAACGUCAAGAAAAAUAUCGAGGACCUCCUGAAGGAGCUUGAGAGCAUGAACGUUGCCCUCGUCAAGAUUGGUGAGGUGCCGCGGGACCAGCUCGACAAACAAGACAAGCUCUGGGCCGAUGAGGUCAGAGAGCUAUCCUACAUCAUUGAGGAUGUCAUCGAUAAGUUCCUCGUACGAGUCAACCACAUUCAGCCAGACGACACCACAAACAAAUUCAAGCGGCUCAUGAAGAGGACGACCAAGUUGCUGAAGAAAGUCAAGGAUAAGUAUGGGAUAGCUCACGCAAUCAAGGACAUCCAGGAGCAACUCCAGAAGGUGGCCGCUAGGCGUGACAGGAACAAGGUAGUUGUUCCUAAUCCUACGGAACCAAUUUCUAUUGAUCCUUGUCUUCGAGCUUUGUACACAGAAGCGACAGAGCUGGUUGGCAUAUAUGGGAAGAGGGAUCAGGAGCUCAUGAGGUUGCUCUCCAUGGAGAGAGAUGAUGCCUCUAACAAUAGAUUGAAGAAGGUCUCCAUUGUUGGAUUUGGAGGGUUGGGCAAGACCACUCUUGCUAGAGCAGUAUAUGACAAGAUUAAAGGUGAUUUUGAUUGUCGGGCAUUUGUUCCCGUCGGUCAGAACCCUGACAUGAAGAAGGUUUUAAGGGAUAUUCUCAUUGAUCUCGGCAACCCUCACUCAGAUCUUGCGAUACUGGAUGCCAAUCAGCUUAUUAAAAUGCUUCAUGAGUUCCUAGAGAACAAAAGGUAUCUCGUCAUAAUUGAUGAUAUAUGGGAUGAAAAAUUGUGGGAAGGCAUCAACUUUGCUUUCUCCAGCAAGAAUAAUCUACGCUGUCGGCUAAUCACCACAACCCGCAUUGUUAGUGUCUCCAAUUCAUGUUGCUCGUCCGCUGAUGAUUCAGUUUAUCAAAUGAAACCUCUUUCUAGUGAUGACUCCCGAAGGCUCUUCCAUAAAAGAAUAUUUCCUGACGAUAGUGGAUGUCCAAAUGAAUAUGAACAAGUGUCUAAAGAUAUAUUGAAGAAAUGUGGUGGGGUACCACUAGCCAUCAUUACUAUUGCUAGUGUUUUGACUAGUGACCAGCAGGUGAAAACAAAGCAUGAGUGGGAUAUUCUGCUCCAGUUCCUUGGCUCUGGACUAACAGAAGAUAACAGUUUAGAGGAGAUGCGGAGAAUACUAUCUUUCAGCUAUUAUAAUCUACCCUCUCAUCUGAAAACUUGUCUACUGUACCUAUGUAUAUAUCCAGAAGAUACCAUGAUUGAUAGAGAUAGACUCAUAUGGAAGUGGGUGGCCGAAGGAUUUGUCCACCAUGGAAAGCAAGGGACCAGCCUGUUUUUGGUCGGAUUGAACUACUUCAACCAGCUCAUUAAUAGAAGUAUGAUCCAGCCAAUAUAUAAUGAUCUAGGCCAGGUAUAUGCUUGUCGUGUACAUGAUAUGGUUUUGGGCCUUCUCUGCAACUUGUCACAUGCAGCAAAGUUUGUCAAGUUAUUGGAUGGCACUCGGUAUAACAUGUCUUCACAAAGUAAUGUUCGUCGUUUGUCCCUUCAAGAUGGAAAUGAAGAUCAGCAAAUCAUGCCUCUCACAAAUUUUGUAAGGUCAAUUACUGUCUUCCCACCUGCUGUUAGUAUCAUGCCAGCUCUAUCAAAGUUUGAAGUUCUGCGUGUACUUGAUCUGUCAGACUGUUAUCUGAAAAGAAGUAGCAGCCUACAGCUUAACCUCAAGGAUGUUGGACACUUAAUUCACCUAAGGUACCUUGGUCUAGCACGUACUGGAAUUAGUGAACUCCCAGCUGAGAUAGGAAACCUGCAGUUUUUGGAGGUGCUGAAUAUUGGAAGUAGUUCUCAGCUAAGUAGAUUGCCGUCGAUUGUUUGCAAGUUGAGAAGAUUACUCUGCCUAAAUGUUUGUCUCUCUGAGGUGGUUCCAGCUGGUGUGUUGCAGAAUCUUACGUCCAUCGAAGUGUUGAAGAAUAUCUUGGUCUGUCUGAACGUUAUUGCACAAGAGCUUGGCAACCUAGUAAGGCUGAGGGAGCUUGUGGUUUCCUUCAAGAAUGGUAGUUUGCAUUUGUAUGAAGGUUUCGUGGAGUCUCUGUGCAACCUACAUCACAUCGAAAUUCUAAGUAUUUAUCGCCAUUCCAGUGAAACAUCUUUUGAGCUGAUGGAUCUCUUGGGAGAACGUUGGGUGCCUCCUGUACAUCUCCGCGAAUUUAUAUCUUGGAUGCCCAGCAAACUCUCUGCACUUCGAAGGUGGAUAAAGAAAGACCCCUCGCAUCUCUCAAACCUCUCCGAGUUAACCCUCUCGCGAGUGAAUGAUGUGCAGCAGGAGGACGUGGAAAUCAUUGGGAGGUUGUUGUCCCUUCGUCGUCUCCGCAUAAAGAGCACCCACCAAACACAACGGUUGUUAGUCAUCCGUGCAGAUGGGUUCUGCUGUAUGGUAGAAUUUAUCUUGUAUUGUGGGUCAGCAGCACAAAUAAUGUUUGAACCAGGAGCUUUGCCGAGGGCGGAAAAAGUUAGGUUCAGCCUUGGCGUGCACGUGGCGAAAGAGGAUGGUAACUAUGGUUUUGACUUGGGCCUGCAGGGGAACCUGCUCUCCCUUCGGAGGGAGGUCUGCGUUUAUUUGUGUUGUGGUGGAGCGAGGGUUGGGGAUGCCAAGGAAGCAGAGGCUGCGGUGAGGCACGCGCUGGACGGCCAUCCCAACCAUCCAUGGAUUGGAAUUGAAAUGAACCCGAAUAUAGCACAAGGUGCUCAUGACGACGAUUUCUGUAAGGACGUGGUGGAGAACUGA